This is a non-coding RNA of Oncorhynchus mykiss (rainbow trout), 5603 nucleotides long. Lineage: Eukaryota; Metazoa; Chordata; Actinopteri; Salmoniformes; Salmonidae. The record is from RefSeq and is a predicted model, not a curated record.
UAGUUGAUGACAAUGGGAUGGGAUGGGAUGGGUAGUUCCAAGAUUAAGAAGCUGGACACCAUGUCUGUGCUUAUAUUAGCAGCUGAAAUACACAUUUAACCACAUGGUAAAUAGUUAAAUAAUUAGCAACUAAUACAUAGACGUGUCAGGUUGAUAUAGGUUAUGAGACAUUAGCAUACUGUCUUCCCUUUCCAAUUAAUGCAGGAAUGAUUUACCAAGCUAGCUAAUGUUAGCUAACAAAAUUAGACUACCAGUAUAUCAUUAACGUUGACGUUAAUUACUUUAAACCAAAAGAUAGUGCAAGCAAAUUAAACUAACUAAAUUGUCGCCCUUUUUGAAACUCUUAGUUAUGUUAAUCUUAGUUAGCCUAGCUAAGAUUGUCGACAAUGACUGACACCGUCAAUUAUUUAGCUUCGCCGUUCGGCACCCUUUCUAUUUAUUUUCUAUUGUCAGUAGAAAGGGCGCCAAAGACGGCGAAGCUAAAUAAUCGACGGUGUCAGUCAUUAGGGCACAUUUACACCUUAUUAUCACUAAUCUGGCAAUGAAACACUAUCAAUCUAACCAAAGUUAAACUGUUAAACUGCUAACAGUCAACGUUACCUAGUUAAAAUAGCAUGCUAACUUGGUUUGCCAACUUUCCAAUUCAAAUGAACGUUAGCUAACUGAAGGUAGACGGGUAUAAACAAAUGAACAUUACCUUUUAAUACUGCGGUUGAUAUAUGAUCCAUGCCCGGAUAUGUGUCAUCCAUUCCAUCUUCGUUCAUGGUGUUGUUAAAUGACUUUUUAUUUAUAGGCCUCCCUUAUGUCGCUAGAUAAUGUAAUGAACGUAUGUCAGUUAAGCAAUAUCACACGAAAGGGAGUGCUGAAUAUCAGCACAGCUGUGAUUCGGUCGUAGGUACAAGGCCGCAGGCCGAGUGCCGAAGAUAAUAAUAUUCAGUAUAACAGCACGACCUCGAGUGUGAUAUUGCUUUUAUACAACAGUUCUACAAGCACCAUUUAUUAGUUAACAGUAAUAAGCGACAACCAAUUAUGAUUUGUUUGUCUGGGACACAUAGUUCCACAACUGGACUGGGACACAUAGUUCCACAACUGGACUGGAACACAUAGUUCCACAACUGGACUGGGACACAUAGUUCCACAACUGGACUAGGACACAUAUUUCCACAACUGGACUGCGACACAUAGUUCCACAACUGGACUGGGACACAUAGUUCCACAACUGGACUGGGACACAUAUUUCCACAACUGGACUGGGACACAUAGUUCCACAACUGGACUGGGACACAUAGUUCCACAACUGGACUGGGACACAUAUUUCCACAACUGGACUGGGACACAUAGUUCCACAACUGGACUGGGACACAUAUUUCCACAACUGGACUGGGACACAUAGUUCCACAACUGGACUGGGACACAUAGUUCCACAACUGGACUGGAACACAUAGUUCCACAACUGGACUGGGAAACAUAGUUCCACAACUGUACUGGGAAACAUAGUUCCACAACUGGACUGAAACACAUAGUUCCACAACUGGACUGGGACACAUAGUUCCACAACUGGACUGGGAAACAUAGUUCCACAACUGGACUGGAACACAUAGUUCCACAACUGGACUGGGACACAUAGUUCCACAACUGGACUGAGACAGGACUGGGACACAUAGUUCCACAACUGGACUGGGACACAUAGUUCCACAACUGGACUGAGACAGGACUGGAACACAUAGUUCCACAACUGGACUGGAACUUGACUGUUGUCAAGCGCCACAUAAACAUUUUCCUACACACUAGCUUGCUACUUUGUGUAGGUCUACACGUUACCGUCCUCUCCUGAUGACCAUUCAUAAUUUAACUAAAAUGUUAUUUGAGGAAAUAUGUUAAUCUUUGUGGUGCGACGUUUGUUACAAUCUAAGAUAGAUAACGAUCGUUAAUGUAAUUAAUUAAAGGUUAUUAGAACACCUGCAAAGCGGAGUGAUACAUGUAUAGUUAAAAGUCCCAGUGCUGUUAUACUCUACUCCAAUCAAAUUACUUGGUCGUAAAAAAAAGACUUGUGAACAUCAUUUUUAGUUCUUUUCACCCUUUUCAUAGUAAGAAGUGGGAAUGUUUUACUUGCGUUUCCUUUUAGUAACGUUCAAGUGCGUUAUCUGCUGUGUUUUUAUGACGUUUUCAUUGAAACUGUUAUUGAGCCAUAUCAAUAGAUUUCACAGUCGCAGCCCUGAUUUCUGGUUGCUCUGUGGUAUUUGCGGAUGCACUGAGGAAUAUAGAGUAUACAAUUCCUUCUAUCAUCAUGUAAAGAGAAGAUACACCUUCAACACCUACCUGAAGGCACCAGACCAGGUGAACAGCCAUCGGAGGAAAGCCAAGUACCCCCGGAACAAGUAAGUAGCUAGCUAGGAUUUGUUUUUGUUUACUGCUGAAUUUUAAAAAAAAUAAUGUUUUAGUGAAUGGACAGGACCAAAGUCAUACUGUCCAUUUAAGCUAUUCGAUAAUUUUAGCGAUAAUGACUCUUAUGGCUAAAGCUGUGUUAAUGUGAAAAUAAUCAAUGUCCCAUAGGAACAAAACACUUAAAUAGAACUAUUGGUGAAACUAAAUACAAUUACAAAUAAUAAUCUGUUUCUUUGACAUGUGCUACACAGGACAACAUUCAACCCGAUCAGCUUCUAGCUAACUCCAGCAUCACUGAUCAGCAACUCCAUACACCUGACUCAGACGAAGGGAAAAGGGGCAUUGACCAACAUGGAGCUGUCACAGUAAGAUCUGACUACACAUGCCACUGUUUUUGUGAUAAAUGCCAGAGCCAAGCAUCGUCUCUCACAGAACGGCUUGAAUGACAUUGUUGCUGGGGUACAGCAGUAUCAAUCAUCACUAUUGGACAACCUCAGGAAGCAGAUGGAGGCAGUGGUAAAGAAGCAUUCAGGAAGCAGAUGGAGGCAGUGCUAAAGAAGCAUUCAGGAAGCAGAUGGAGGGAGUGCUAAAGAAGCAUUCAGGAAGCAGAUGGAGGGAGUGCUAAAGAAGCAUUCAGGAAGCAGAUGGAGGGAGUGCUAAAGAAGCAUUCAGGAAGCACAUCAGGUCAACUUGAAGAAGAUGCAAUGGAUAUAUUUGACAAUUUCAUUGAGCCUUUUGCUGGCGUUGCAACAACAUUUAGACAGGACAGUGUAAUUAAGAAGCUGUUUAGCUGUUUGGACGCAGAGGAAAUUCCAGUUGCUGGAACCAUAUGCAGGAUGAAAUGUGGAGGAUCAAAAGACAUUUUCAUCAAAGACAAAUUAUUUCAUUAUAUACCAUUAGUCAAAAGUCUAGAACAGUUCUUAUCACACCCAAGGAUUUUGUCUGGUUGAAAAGGGACCCCAGAUGUGCAGAGAAUGUUUUUUUCAUGACAUUGUUGAUGGUGCUCUUCUAAAAUCACAUCCCUUAUUUUCAGAGAAACCAAAUGCAUUGCAGAUUGUUCUGUACACGGAUGAAAUAGAGAUCUGUAAUCCACUAGGAUCCUUUGCAUCAAAAAACAAGUUGUUAAUGGUGUACUACACCCUAGGAAAUAUAAAUCCAAAAUACAGGUCUAAACUGGCUGCUAUCAGGCUACUUGCCGUGGCUAGAUUACCAGACCUCCGUCAAUCUGGUGUAGAUGUAAAAUUGAAUAGAAUCAAGGAAGACAUGGAUACAUUGUAGAGUGGGGUUAAAAUGCAAACUAUUAACAGACAGAAAAUGAUAUAUGGUGCCAUGGUCUCUCUCUGUGGAGACACCCUGGCACAACAUGAACUAGCAGGGUUCAAAGAGGGUGUGGGCUUUGCCUACAGUAAGUGCAGACACUGUGAGUGUUCUUUUGAGGACAUGCAGUCACUCUUCAAUGAGGAUGCAUAUACUAAAAGGACAUUGGAGAAGCAUGUCAGACAGUGUGAUGAAAUAGAAAACGCUAAGACGGACUUGCUAUGCAACAGCCUGAGAACAACAUAUGGGAUCAAUAGAAGGAGCAAGUUAGUUGAAUUCCCAGCCUUUGAUAUUAUAGAACAACUCCGCAAGACAUUAUGCAUGUAAUUCUGGAGGGCAUUGGAAAUCAAAUGUGUUUUGAAUCAUCUUGUUGUGUCAGGACAUAUUGAUCUGGACUGCUAUUCUUGGUUUCCUUUAUUCCCCUCUAGAUGUUAGAGAUUGGCCAUCCCCCAAUUUCUGUUAGUACAUUAACGUCAAGUGAUGGUAAACUUAAACAGUCAUCUGGGCAAAUGCUUGUCCUGCUAGGGAUAUUGCCAUGUGUUUUGGAGAGUUUGGAAGUCAAUGCAUAUAGUAUAUGAUACAUUUGCCAUCACAGAUAAAGUCAUUGGGGCCAAUGGUUAGACAUUUGUGUAUGCGUUUUGAGUCUAAACAUUGUUUCUUUAAACAAUGGGCUUCCGAGCUAAAUUUAAAACAUAUUUGCAGGUCUUUAAUUAAUCAUAACCAAAUAUAUGAAAGUUGCUAAACUGUUGACAGUUCAAUGCACCCAAUUUUUUUUAAUGAAAUGUAUCAGAGGUUAAAGAUCUACUAUAUUUACGUGGAAAAUUCAGGGACUUCCUAGGUUUCAAUAAAGUAAACCAUGCUGUAUCAGUCAAAUGGCUUGUGAUACAUUUUAAUAAAUACAUAACUCAGAAGUCCAUGAUCUUUGCCAAAGUACUGAAUGAUACAGUAGUAUGCCAGAAUUUGGACUGGUCAAAACAUAUUUCUUGUUGAUUCUAGGCUUUAUUGUUUGGAAUAUCAACCAUUUCAAACUAUACGUUUUGCAGAGAAAGUGGGUAGUAGUCUGUUCCCAUGUUUAUGCCUCCUCUGUCUCGUCCCGCCCCCCCACACACACACUACAUGUUCAUGUUUUUAAAUGUAUGUAAAUUGUAAAGUAUUUUGCCUGUAAUGUAUUUUCCGUUAUGUGUCGGACCCCAGUAAGAGUAAGUGUCACCACGUUGGCGUCAGCUAAUGGGGAUCCUAAUAAAUCAAACCCCAUACAGGCUUUGGGGUUUUAUGAUGGCUUAUGCUGAUAUUGUGCAGAUAUUAGAUAUUAAAUAUUAUAUAUUCACGUUGAGACACUUCUUGUAAACCCAGGUUGCAUUUCCUGUCUAAGUGUGCGUUCCCUUAGUUACCACAUUACAGCAAGAACAGAUAUUGUCCAUUCCCUGUGUUAGUCUCGCAUCACCCACAGUCUGACGGGCACCUCUUAAUGUUACUGUUACACAGAAUGAAAAUGUCUAUGGAAAUACUCUUCGUGCGUCACUUUUGGGAUGUGUGUAAUUACAUUUAUAUACCAUAACUCAUAGCAAUUCAAAAAGAAAAAACCAUAAAAAACAGCCAGCGAGGGUUCGUAUGUCAUACAGAGCAACUGAAUGUAAACAGAAGAUUGGAGUAGCAGGCAUCGCUCCACCACAGCUAAUGUAAAUGUUAGUGGGUAGUGGGGGUGUCGGAGGAUUACAUUUGGAGCCUAGUUUUAUGAGUGGUUGAAGUUAUUGUAAGCGGCACAAGGUUUGUUUUUGUGUGUGUGCUUGGAUAAUGUUGGCAUGACUUUGUGGAGGAAAUAUGAUUUCCCCCCAAAAGGACUGUUACUGUAAGGUUCCUGUGCCAGUUCUAGGAUCUUGUUGCCUUGAACUGACUCUCAA